RNAcentral lists this ribosomal RNA (440 nucleotides) under uncultured bacterium. Its description in RNAcentral is "partial 16S ribosomal RNA". It matches the Rfam family "Bacterial small subunit ribosomal RNA", at positions 338 to 795 of the family's 1533-position model. The record is from RNAcentral.
CCUACGGGAGGCAGCAGUGGGGAAUAUUGCACAAUGGGGGAAACCCUGAUGCAGCGACGCCGCGUGAGUGAAGAAGUAUUUCGGUACGUAAAGCUCUAUCAGCAGGGAAGAAAAUGACGGUACCUGACUAAGAAGCCCUGGCUAACUACGUGCCAGCAGCCGCGGUAAUACGUAGGGGGCAAGCGUUAUCCGGAUUUACUGGGUGUAAAGGGAGCGUAGACGGCAGCGCAAGUCUGGAGUGAAAUCCCAUGGCUUAACCAUGGAACUGCUUUGGAAACUGUGCAGCUAGAGUGCAGGAGAGGUAAGCGGAAUUCCUAGUGUAGCGGUGAAAUGCGUAGAUAUUAGGAGGAACACCAGUGGCGAAGGCGGCUUACUGGACUGUAACUGACGUUGAGGCUCGAAAGCGUGGGGAGCAAACAGGAUUAGAUACCCCUGUAGUC